AUGCAGCGGCUCAUCCAACAACACUUGCACAGAGCGCAACAGAGAAUGAAGAAGUUUGCAGACCGCAAGCGGUCGGAACGAGUGUUUGAGGUGGGGGACAAGGUGUAUCUGCGAUUACAACCACACAUCCAAACUUCGGUGGCUCCAAGAUCGUCUCACAAACUUUGUUUUCGUUUCUUUGGACCAUUUGAAGUGCUUCAACGCGUGGGAGCAGUGGCCUACAAACUCAAGCUGCCGGCUGGAAGCCAAGUACACCCAGUUUUUCACGUGUCCCAGCUGAAAAAAGCAGUGGCGCCUACAACACCGGUGAGUACUGACCUUUCUGUUCUGCUCAUUGCUGAUGACAAGCGACAACCUGAGCAGAUUUUGGAGGCGAGGCUGGUGCGGCAAGGCAAGAAGUUGCUUCCGCAAGUCAAGACUCUUUGGACUGGACUGCCAGAAAACUUUGCUACCGGGGAACAACUUCAUGCUCUUCAUCGAAGGUAUGCGGAAGCACCAGCAUGGGGACAUGCUGCGUCUCGGGGAGGGAGCAUUGUCACGGCCUUCCUGAAGACUGAGGCACAACGACCGAAGAAGAGAGCAGAGAAGAGAGAGCGGAGCAGGCUGACUCAUGCACUCAAGGCCGCCACAGGGGAGGCCGGCCCAUGA
This 648-nucleotide ribosomal RNA is filed under the name Triticum aestivum (bread wheat). RNAcentral's name for it is "partial small subunit ribosomal RNA". Lineage: Eukaryota; Viridiplantae; Streptophyta; Magnoliopsida; Poales; Poaceae. The record is from RNAcentral.